This 486-nucleotide ribosomal RNA is filed under the name uncultured bacterium. RNAcentral describes it as "partial 16S ribosomal RNA". It matches the Rfam family "Bacterial small subunit ribosomal RNA", at positions 30 to 507 of the family's 1533-position model. The record is from RNAcentral.
AUUGAACGCUGGCGGCAUGCCUUACACAUGCAAGUCGAACGGCAGCACGGGUGCUUGCACCUGGUGGCGAGUGGCGAACGGGUGAGUAAUACAUCGGAACAUGUCCUGUAGUGGGGGAUAGCCCGGCGAAAGCCGGAUUAAUACCGCAUACGAUCUACGGAUGAAAGCGGGGGACCUUCGGGCCUCGCGCUAUCGGGUUGGCCGAUGGCUGAUUAGCUAGUUGGUGGGGUAAAGGCCUACCAAGGCGACGAUCAGUAGCUGGUCUGAGAGGACGACCAGCCACACUGGGACUGAGACACGGCCCAGACUCCUACGGGAGGCAGCAGUGGGGAAUUUUGGACAAUGGGCGAAAGCCUGAUCCAGCAAUGCCGCGUGUGUGAAGAAGGCCUUCGGGUUGUAAAGCACUUUUGUCCGGAAAGAAAUCCUUGGCUCUAAUACAGUCGGGGGAUGACGGUACCGGAAGAAUAAGCACCGGCUAACUACGUG